This 253-nucleotide ribosomal RNA is filed under the name uncultured bacterium. RNAcentral's name for it is "partial 16S ribosomal RNA". It matches the Rfam family "Bacterial small subunit ribosomal RNA", at positions 524 to 776 of the family's 1533-position model. The record is from RNAcentral.
GACGUAGGGCGCGAGCGUUGUCCGGAUUUAUUGGGCGUAAAGAGCUCGUAGGCGGCUUGUUGCGUCAGCUGUGAAAACCCGCAGCUCAACUGUGGGCUUGCAGCUGAUACGGGCAGGCUUGAGUUCGGUAGGGGAGACUGGAAUUCCUGGUGUAGCGGUGAAAUGCGUAGAUAUCCGGAGGAACACCAGUGGCGAAGGCGACUUUCUGGCCUGUUCUUGACGCUGAGGCGCGAAAGCUAGGGGAGCAAACGGG